Marmota monax (woodchuck) is the source of this 2013-nucleotide long non-coding RNA. RefSeq lists it as uncharacterized. Lineage: Eukaryota; Metazoa; Chordata; Mammalia; Rodentia; Sciuridae. The transcript is spliced from 4 exons. The record is from RefSeq and is a predicted model, not a curated record.
GAGUUUGUGCUAACAUGUUGACUCUUGAAGAAUGGGGACUGGCACUAUGUGCUCAGAGGUCUAGAAGCUUCAGCCCCACUCCCUGACCUGUGGUGGGAGGAGAAGGCUGGACUUGGACUUCAUCACCAGUGGCCAAUGAUCUCAUCCGUUGUGAAUGCACAAUAAAGCCUCCAUAAAAACCUCCAGUGCCGGGCUCAGAGAGCUCCGGGCUGGCGAACGCAGGAGCACAGGGAGGGUGGCGCCUGGAGCAGGCUGGAAGAGCCGCACUGCAGCUGGCUGGUGCCCAGGCUCGGCUCAGAGCCUCUCCUCCUCUGGCUGCUCCUGAGGGGUAGUUGAUGUCAGAACUCGGCUGCAGGAUGCCCAGUUGGUAUCCACAGGAAACUGGAGACUUGCACGGAGUCUGUAGAGGAAGUUUUUCUGUCUACACCUCAAGCUGUGUCCUGAGCACUUCGUGAAGAUGAACUCAUCAAAUCUUUCCAGCAAGGGCUGAAGAUGAGAGGGUCAAGGAGGACUUCAAAUGAAAAGAUGACGACAAAAAAAGCACAGGCCUGUGGGUAUUCCAGGACUGCAGAAGGGAAGGACCACGGAGGGGGACACAGAGGGGACCAUGGAGGUGGAGAGGCACGGGGCCGCGAGUUCAGACCUGAGGGACUCGUUCCUGUUCCAGGCUAUGGCAGGGACUGUUCUCACGUGCAAGAGCGCCGUGCCUUGGGAGCCUCUUCAGUAAGAGGCUGGUGUAACCCAGCUCAGCUGACAUGGUCCCAAAGCAAGCAGAAGCUGGCAGACCCGCCACACACGCUGCCAGCUCCGAGUGCCAGCAUCCACCGUCUCUGCCAGUCCCCAUCAGGAUGACCUGGAUUUGAAAUUUUGCUAAGUGAGCACAACUACUAGGUUUCAGUGAGCAAGCAGGCCAAGGAGGUUAGAAAAAUACAAAAUUUUAAUCUCUACUUAUGACAGUCAUGUCAAAGCCCCUAAUUAAAAACUUUUUUUUCCAACCUGCAGAGCAGAACAGGGCUUAGCCUACACUCUCAGAACUUUGCAGGUACUCUCUGCCCUUUUCCUCUUAGCCCAAGGCUCUGUGCUGACCCACCCACUCGCUGCUCAUCAUUGCUCUGGGGGUAGUGGCUUGAAAGCCAGCCUGCCCAUCCUGCCAACCCAGGUGAGUCCCAUGCUGGGCCACCACAGCCCUGUUCUGUAACCCAAGAACCCUUCAGCCUCGGGCCCAACCCCCAAGUCCAGCCAUCUGCCAGGAGAGCUGCGAGGCCAGGGGGAGCACCCGCAGGGCUGCGAGCCUGGGAUCUGUGGCCUCCUGCUGACUGUCUCCGGCCUCCUGGCCCACGUUGUGGAACGUGGGUCUUUAAGGCACCAAGUGAUUGAAGAACUGGCUCUGCUUCUGAUCAAGGCCUUCCUGUUACUCACUAGUUAGUUAGUGACUGCUGGAUGCGCUGGCACCCCAGCAGCUCCGGGAAGUCCUCAUUCAGUCUUCAGGGCAGGAUGUAGGUAAUUCUCUGAGGAACAGACUUGCAGCCUUGGGAAGAAAAGAGUUGUUCCUCCUUGGGGACAUAUGUCAUCAUCUUGGCGAUCUCGUCCAGGGACUCUUCUGUGUGCGGGAGCUCCUGGCUCAGGAAGGCGUCGCGAGCACACAGCCUCACGUGACGGUAUUCCAGUGGCAGGAAGGGGACAAAGACGUCAAUCAGGUCUUCUUUCACCAGACGGCUGUGGCCAAAGCCACUGUCUGAAAUCAAGACACAAAGUCACAUGGAAGCUGACCCGAGGCUGAACCCAGUGGGGCUCUACUGUGUCCCAGGACCCGCAGCAUGGGCAGGAUUUGGUCUCGUGUACAGUGCCAGGGGGGCUGUCUGCAGCACAUGCCAAGAGCCACACCACUGGGUCUCCUGGAACAGGUCACUCACCUGUGGACCCCAUGAUCUCGGCUCGGAGGCGGGGCUCUAAGUCUUCCAUCGUAAUUUCUUCCCGGGGCCGUCCAGCCUUAAGCCAUGUCAGGACCACCUC